CCAGACUCCUACGGGAGGCAGCAGUGAGGAAUAUUGGUCAAUGGACGCAAGUCUGAACCAGCCAUGCCGCGUGCAGGAUGACGGCUCUAUGAGUUGUAAACUGCUUUUGUACGAGGGUAAACCCCGAUACGUGUAUCGGGUUGAAAGUAUCGUACGAAUAAGGAUCGGCUAACUCCGUGCCAGCAGCCGCGGUAAUACGGAGGAUCCGAGCGUUAUCCGGAUUUAUUGGGUUUAAAGGGUGCGUAGGCGGUUUGAUAAGUUAGGGGUGAAAUGUCGGGGCUCAACCCCGGCCUGCCGUUGAAACUGGCGGCCUCGAGUGGGCGAGAAGUAUGCGGAAUGCGUGGUGUAGCGGUGAAAUGCAUAGAUAUCACGCAGAACUCCGAUUGCGAAGGCAGCAUACCGGCGCCCGACUGACGCUGAGGCACGAAAGCGUGGGUAUCGAACAGGAUUAGAUACCCGUGUAG
Molecule: ribosomal RNA, 464 nt
Filed under: uncultured bacterium
Lineage: Bacteria
Description: bacterial SSU rRNA
Rfam family: Bacterial small subunit ribosomal RNA
Source: RNAcentral